CAGCAGUUCAAGUUGCAUCCCUUUUUAUUGGGUCUAAAACAUCCGUAGCUUGCCGUUUAAGUCUCUUGUGAAAUCCUACGUCUCAAGCGUAGGGCUUGCAGGAGAUACUGAGCGGCUAGAGAUCGGUAGACGUAAGGAGUACGCCGGAGGUAGUGGUAAAAUACGUUAAUCUUCGGUGGACUAACAAUGAGCGAAGGCACCUUACGAGGACGAAUCUGACAGUGAGGGACGAAGGCCAGGGGAGCGAACCGGAUUAGAUACCCGAGUAGUCC
RNAcentral lists this ribosomal RNA (272 nucleotides) under uncultured archaeon. RNAcentral's name for it is "partial 16S ribosomal RNA". It matches the Rfam family "Archaeal small subunit ribosomal RNA", at positions 477 to 747 of the family's 1478-position model. The record is from RNAcentral.